GAUAUUGAUGAUUUGAAGUUUGAUAACUUUUUCUCAUCUCUACUUGAAAUGGAAGACCUUAAGAAGAAGGACAAAAGCAACUUUGAGAUGGACCUGGACAAAUUUUUGAUACCGAAGAAUAACUCCCAUGUUGAUCCUACACGAAAAACAAAUAUUUUUAUUUCAGAACCGAGUCUGUCCUCCAUAGUUGUUUCUGAU
Molecule: long non-coding RNA, 198 nt
Organism: Helianthus annuus (common sunflower)
Lineage: Eukaryota; Viridiplantae; Streptophyta; Magnoliopsida; Asterales; Asteraceae
Exons: 3
Source: RefSeq, a predicted model, not a curated record